GUUGUAUGGUUAAGUGACAAAGCGUACAAGGUGGAUGCCUUGGCAAUCAGAGGCGAAGAAGGACGUGCUAAUCUGCGAAAAGCUUGGAUGAGUCGAUAAGAGGCGUUUAAUCCGAGAUGUCCGAAUGGGGAAACCCAGU
Molecule: ribosomal RNA, 139 nt
Filed under: Aggregatibacter actinomycetemcomitans
Lineage: Bacteria; Pseudomonadati; Pseudomonadota; Gammaproteobacteria; Pasteurellales; Pasteurellaceae
Description: partial 23S ribosomal RNA
Rfam family: Bacterial large subunit ribosomal RNA
Source: RNAcentral